This 253-nucleotide ribosomal RNA is filed under the name uncultured bacterium. Its description in RNAcentral is "partial 16S ribosomal RNA". It matches the Rfam family "Bacterial small subunit ribosomal RNA", at positions 524 to 776 of the family's 1533-position model. The record is from RNAcentral.
UACAGAGGGGGCAAGCGUUGUUCGGAAUUACUGGGCGUAAAGGGCGCGUAGGCGGGCCGCCAAGUCAGGGGUGAAAUCCUCCGGCCUAACCGGAGAACGGCUUUUGAUACUGGCGGUCUCGAGGGGGGUAGGGGCAUGCGGAACUUCCGGUGGAGCGGUGAAAUGCGUAGAUAUCGGAAGGAACGCCGGUGGCGAAAGCGGCGUGCUGGACCCCUUCUGACGCUGAGGCGCGAAAGCCAGGGGAGCAAACGGG